This 2819-nucleotide ribosomal RNA is filed under the name Salmonella enterica subsp. enterica serovar Enteritidis. Its description in RNAcentral is "23S ribosomal RNA". It matches the Rfam family "Bacterial large subunit ribosomal RNA". The record is from RNAcentral. Lineage: Bacteria; Pseudomonadati; Pseudomonadota; Gammaproteobacteria; Enterobacterales; Enterobacteriaceae.
GGGUUGUGAGGUUAAGCGACUAAGCGUACACGGUGGAUGCCCUGGCAGUCAGAGGCGAUGAAGGGCGUGCUAAUCUGCGAUAAGCGCCGGUAAGGUGAUAUGAACCGUUAUAACCGGCGAUACCCGAAUGGGGAAACCCAGUGUGAUUCGUCACACUAUCAUUAACUGAAUCCAUAGGUUAAUGAGGCGAACCGGGGGAACUGAAACAUCUAAGUACCCCGAGGAAAAGAAAUCAACCGAGAUUCCCCCAGUAGCGGCGAGCGAACGGGGAGGAGCCCAGAGCCUGAAUCAGCAUGUGUGUUAGUGGAAGCGUCUGGAAAGGCGCGCGAUACAGGGUGACAGCCCCGUACACAAAAGCGCAUGUGCUGUGAGCUCGAUGAGUAGGGCGGGACACGUGGUAUCCUGUCUGAAUAUGGGGGGACCAUCCUCCAAGGCUAAAUACUCCUGACUGACCGAUAGUGAACCAGUACCGUGAGGGAAAGGCGAAAAGAACCCCGGCGAGGGGAGUGAAAAAGAACCUGAAACCGUGUACGUACAAGCAGUGGGAGCNNNNNNNNNNNNNNNNNNNNNNNNNNNNNNNNNNNNNNNNNNNNNNNNNNNNGGGCGUUAAGUUGCAGGGUAUAGACCCGAAACCCGGUGAUCUAGCCAUGGGCAGGUUGAAGGUUGGGUAACACUAACUGGAGGACCGAACCGACUAAUGUUGAAAAAUUAGCGGAUGACCUGUGGCUGGGGGUGAAAGGCCAAUCAAACCGGGAGAUAGCUGGUUCUCCCCGAAAGCUAUUUAGGUAGCGCCUCGUGAAUUCAUCUCCGGGGGUAGAGCACUGUUUCGGCUAGGGGGCCAUCCCGGCUUACCAACCCGAUGCAAACUGCGAAUACCGGAGAAUGUUAUCACGGGAGACACACGGCGGGUGCUAACGUCCGUCGUGAAGAGGGAAACAACCCAGACCGCCAGCUAAGGUCCCAAAGUCAUGGUUAAGUGGGAAACGAUGUGGGAAGGCCCAGACAGCCAGGAUGUUGGCUUAGAAGCAGCCAUCAUUUAAAGAAAGCGUAAUAGCUCACUGGUCGAGUCGGCCUGCGCGGAAGAUGUAACGGGGCUAAACCAUGCACCGAAGCUGCGGCAGCGNNNNNNNNUGCUGGAGGUAUCAGAAGUGCGAAUGCUGACAUAAGUAACGAUAAAGCGGGUGAAAAGCCCGCUCGCCGGAAGACCAAGGGUUCCUGUCCAACGUUAAUCGGGGCAGGGUGAGUCGACCCCUAAGGCGAGGCCGAAAGGCGUAGUCGAUGGGAAACGGGUUAAUAUUCCCGUACUUGGUGUUACUGCGAAGGGGGGACGGAGAAGGCUAUGUUGGCCGGGCGACGGUUGUCCCGGUUUAAGCGUGUAGGUGUGUGUUCCAGGUAAAUCCGGUUCACUUUAACACUGAGGCGUGACGACGAGGCACUACGGUGCUGAAGCAACAAAUGCCCUGCUUCCAGGAAAAGCCUCUAAGCAUCAGGUAACAUCAAAUCGUACCCCAAACCGACACAGGUGGUCAGGUAGAGAAUACCAAGGCGCUUGAGAGAACUCGGGUGAAGGAACUAGGCAAAAUGGUGCCGUAACUUCGGGAGAAGGCACGCUGACACGUAGGUGAAGUGAUUUACUCAUGGAGCUGAAGUCAGUCGAAGAUACCAGCUGGCUGCAACUGUUUAUUAAAAACACAGCACUGUGCAAACACGAAAGUGGACGUAUACGGUGUGACGCCUGCCCGGUGCCGGAAGGUUAAUUGAUGGGGUCAGCGCAAGCGAAGCUCCUGAUCGAAGCCCCGGUAAACGGCGGCCGUAACUAUAACGGUCCUAAGGUAGCGAAAUUCCUUGUCGGGUAAGUUCCGACCUGCACGAAUGGCGUAAUGAUGGCCAGGCUGUCUCCACCCGAGACUCAGUGAAAUUGAACUCGCUGUGAAGAUGCAGUGUACCCGCGGCAAGACGGAAAGACCCCGUGAACCUUUACUAUAGCUUGACACUGAACAUUGAGCCUUGAUGUGUAGGAUAGGUGGGAGGCUUUGAAGUGUGGACGCCAGUCUGCAUGGAGCCGACCUUGAAAUACCACCCUUUAAUGUUUGAUGUUCUAACGUGGACCCGUUACCCGGGUUGCGGACAGUGUCUGGUGGGUAGUUUGACUGGGGCGGUCUCCUCCUAAAGAGUAACGGAGGAGCACGAAGGUUGGCUAAUCCUGGUCGGACAUCAGGAGGUUAGUGCAAUGGCAUAAGCCAGCUUGACUGCGAGCGUGACGGCGCGAGCAGGUGCGAAAGCAGGUCAUAGUGAUCCGGUGGUUCUGAAUGGAAGGGCCAUCGCUCAACGGAUAAAAGGUACUCCGGGGAUAACAGGCUGAUACCGCCCAAGAGUUCAUAUCGACGGCGGUGUUUGGCACCUCGAUGUCGGCUCAUCACAUCCUGGGGCUGAAGUAGGUCCCAAGGGUAUGGCUGUUCGCCAUUUAAAGUGGUACGCGAGCUGGGUUUAGAACGUCGUGAGACAGUUCGGUCCCUAUCUGCCGUGGGCGCUGGAGAACUGAGGGGGGCUGCUCCUAGUACGAGAGGACCGGAGUGGACGCAUCACUGGUGUUCGGGUUGUCAUGCCAAUGGCACUGCCCGGUAGCUAAAUGCGGAAGAGAUAAGUGCUGAAAGCAUCUAAGCACGAAACUUGCCCCGAGAUGAGUUCUCCCUGAGACUUAAAGUCUCCUGAAGGAACGUUGAAGACGACGACGUUGAUAGGCCGGGUGUGUAAGCGCAGCGAUGCGUUGAGCUAACCGGUACUAAUGAACCGUGAGGCUUAACCUUACAACGCCGAAG